This 71-nucleotide transfer RNA is filed under the name Pseudofabraea citricarpa. RNAcentral describes it as "tRNA-Gly". It matches the Rfam family "tRNA". Rfam says of the family: Transfer RNA (tRNA) molecules are approximately 80 nucleotides in length. Their secondary structure includes four short double-helical elements and three loops (D, anti-codon, and T loops). Lineage: Eukaryota; Fungi; Ascomycota; Leotiomycetes; Helotiales; Dermateaceae. The record is from RNAcentral.
ACGGCUAUAAGUUAAUGGUAGACUAGUUGCCUUCCACGCAAUCCGUGUCGAUUCGAAUUCGACUAGCCGUA